GUGAGGAAUUUUCCGCAAUGGGCGAAAGCCUGACGGAGCAAUGCCGCGUGAAGGAUGAAGGCCUAUGGGUUGUAAACUUCUUUUCUCAGAAAAGAAUUAUGACGGUAUCUGAGGAAUAAGCAUCGGCUAACUCUGUGCCAGCAGCCGCGGUAAGACAGAGGAUGCAAGCGUUAUCCGGAAUGAUUGGGUGUAAAGCGUCUGUAGGUUGUUUAAAAAGUAUUCUGUCAAAGAUUAGGGCUUAACCCUAGAUAGGCAGAAUAAACUUUUAAGCUAGAGUUUGGUAGAGGCAGAGGGAAUUCCCGGUGGAGCGGUGAAAUGCGUAGAUAUCGGGAGGAACACCAAAGGCGAAGGCACUCUGCUGGGCCAAUACUAACACUGAGAGACGAAAGCGAGGGGAGCAAAUGGGAUUAGAAACCCGAGUAGUCC
RNAcentral lists this ribosomal RNA (426 nucleotides) under uncultured bacterium. RNAcentral describes it as "bacterial SSU rRNA". It matches the Rfam family "Bacterial small subunit ribosomal RNA", at positions 354 to 796 of the family's 1533-position model. The record is from RNAcentral.